UCGUAACAAGGUUUCCGUAGGUGAACCUGCGGAAGGAUCAUUACCGAGUUUUCGAGCUCCGGCUCGACUCUCCCACCCUUUGUGAACGUACCUCUGUUGCUUUGGCGGCUCCGGCCGCCAAAGGACCUUCAAACUCCAGUCAGUAAACGCAGACGUCUGAUAAACAAGUUAAUAAACUAAAACUUUCAACAACGGAUCUCUUGGUUCUGGCAUCGAUGAAGAACGCAGCGAAAUGCGAUAAGUAAUGUGAAUUGCAGAAUUCAGUGAAUCAUCGAAUCUUUGAACGCACAUUGCGCCCCUUGGUAUUCCGGGGGGCAUGCCUGUUCGAGCGUCAUUACAACCCUCAAGCUCUGCUUGGAAUUGGGCACCGUCCUCACUGCGGACGCGCCUCAAAGACCUCGGCGGUGGCUGUUCAGCCCUCAAGCGUAGUAGAAUACACCUCGCUUUGGAGCGGUUGGCGUCGCCCGCCGGACGAACCUUCUGAACUUUUCUCAAGGUUGACCUCGGAUCAGGUAGGGAUACCCGCUGAACUUAAGCAUAUCAA
This 544-nucleotide ribosomal RNA is filed under the name fungal sp. 604C2K. RNAcentral's name for it is "eukaryotic LSU rRNA". The stretch from base 181 to 334 matches the Rfam family "5.8S ribosomal RNA". Lineage: Eukaryota; Fungi. The record is from RNAcentral.